AAAUUUCAGAUAAUCCUUUUGUAAUUAGCCCCAAAUAGAACACAAAAUGAACAGAGUAUCCUAGACGCUCAAAAUUGAACAGUACAGUCAACAUAUAAUGGAAUUACAUCCUGGAAAGUUAUAAACCAGACAAGUAAUACAUAUAAAAUUCAGUUGGCAGUCGUUAAAAAAAAUUGAGAAUGGAAACCAAAUAUUGAAUUUCAAUGAA
This 208-nucleotide unclassified non-coding RNA is filed under the name Hevea brasiliensis (rubber tree). The record is from RNAcentral. Lineage: Eukaryota; Viridiplantae; Streptophyta; Magnoliopsida; Malpighiales; Euphorbiaceae.